Non-coding RNA from Nothobranchius furzeri (turquoise killifish), 509 nucleotides. The record is from RefSeq and is a predicted model, not a curated record. Lineage: Eukaryota; Metazoa; Chordata; Actinopteri; Cyprinodontiformes; Nothobranchiidae.
CUCUCGCCCCCGUGGUCGGGGUCUUCAAUAUUUGGUGGACUGGGAGGGGUACGGCCCGGAGGAACGCUCCUGGAUUCCCCGGUCCAACAUCGAGGACCCCUCUCUCAUCUCGGACUUCGAGGCCUCCAGAUCCGGUGAGGAGCAGGGGGAGCGGCAGCUGCAGGAGAUUUCCCAAUCAGGGACGCGGGUUCAAAAGGAGGAUGGAGACACAUCACUUUGCCGGAUGAUUGCACCAGUUUAGGAUCAUCUCAUCAUCUACUCACCCUCGCUGUCUUCGUUUUCUGGAACAUACUCAUCACGUCCCAUCCUCCUCCGCCGUUCCUGUUUGGCUUUCCCUCUGCUACCUCACCCCUCCUGGAUCUCUCAUCCUCUGCCCAGCGUCCUCCCCGGCUUCCCCUCCUCUACUGAUUAACCUGAGCACCUCAGAGACUCGAGCCGUAUUGCUCAUCCCACAGGACUUCCCUGUGCGGUUUCAGUUCCCGUUUUUAUAAUAAAGACAUUUUACUUUA